AACGAACGCUGGCGGCAUGCCUAACACAUGCCAGUCGAACGAGACCUUCGGGUCUAGUGGCGCACGGGUGCGUAACGCGUGGGAACCUGCCCUUAGGUUCGGAAUAACUCAGAGAAAUUUGAGCUAAUACCGGAUAAUGUCUUCGGACCAAAGAUUUAUCGCCUUUGGAUGGGCCCGCGUAGGAUUAGCUUGUUGGUGGGGUAAUGGCCUACCAAGGCGACGAUCCUUAGCUGGUCUGAGAGGAUGAUCAGCCACACUGGGACUGAGACACGGCCCAGACUCCUACGGGAGGCAGCAGUGGGGAAUAUUGGACAAUGGGCGAAAGCCUGAUCCAGCAAUGCCGCGUGAGUGAUGAAGGCCUUAGGGUUGUAAAGCUCUUUUACCAGGGAUGAUAAUGACAGUACCUGGAGAAUAAGCUCCGGCUAACUCCGUG
RNAcentral lists this ribosomal RNA (433 nucleotides) under uncultured bacterium. RNAcentral describes it as "partial 16S ribosomal RNA". It matches the Rfam family "Bacterial small subunit ribosomal RNA", at positions 29 to 507 of the family's 1533-position model. The record is from RNAcentral.